AUGCACGCUGGCUACAGGCUUAACCCCUGCCAGUCGAGGGGAAACGACGGGGAAGCUUGCUUCCCCGGGCGUCGACCGGCGCACGGGUGAGUAACGCGUAUCCAACCUGCCUCUGACUGAGGGAUAACCCGUCGAAAGUCGGCCUAAUACCUCAUGGCAUCGUCUGCGGGCAUCCAACGACGAUUAAAGAUUUCAUCGGUCAGGGAUGGGGAUGCGUCUGAUUAGCUUGUUGGCGGGGUAACGGCCCACCAAGGCUACGAUCAGUAGGGGUUCUGAGAGGAAGGUCCCCCACAUUGGAACUGAGACACGGUCCAAACUCCUACGGGAGGCAGCAGUGAGGAAUAUUGGUCAAUGGGCGGGAGCCUGAACCAGCCAAGUAGCGUGCAGGAGGACGGCCCUAUGGGUUGUAAACUGCUUUUAUGCGGGGAUAAAGUGAGGGACGUGUCCUUCAUUGCAGGUACCGCAUGAAUAAGGACCGGCUAAUUCCGUG
RNAcentral lists this ribosomal RNA (490 nucleotides) under uncultured bacterium. Its description in RNAcentral is "partial 16S ribosomal RNA". It matches the Rfam family "Bacterial small subunit ribosomal RNA", at positions 29 to 507 of the family's 1533-position model. The record is from RNAcentral.